UACGUAGGGUGCGAGCGUUAAUCGGAAUUACUGGGCGUAAAGCGCGCGUAGGUGGUUCGUUAAGUUAGGAGUGAAAGCCCCGGGCUCAACCUGGGAAUUGCUUCUAAAACUGGCGAGCUAGAGUAUGGUAGAGGGUGGUGGAAUUUCCUGUGUAGCGGUGAAAUGCGUAGAUAUAGGAAGGAACAUCAGUGGCGAAGGCGACCACCUGGACUGAUACUGACACUGAGGUGCGAAAGCGUGGGGAGCAAACAGG
This 253-nucleotide ribosomal RNA is filed under the name uncultured prokaryote. Its description in RNAcentral is "partial 16S ribosomal RNA". It matches the Rfam family "Bacterial small subunit ribosomal RNA", at positions 524 to 776 of the family's 1533-position model. The record is from RNAcentral.